Molecule: long non-coding RNA, 3236 nt
Filed under: Nicotiana benthamiana
Lineage: Eukaryota; Viridiplantae; Streptophyta; Magnoliopsida; Solanales; Solanaceae
Description: long non-coding RNA (NBEN_LNC025163)
Source: RNAcentral
CCAAAACCUGGGAUUUGAAAUGAUAAUCCAAUCCCAUGCAAUAGGCUCGUCAGGUGGUAUUGUGCUCAUGUGAAAGGAAGAUAUGGUAACUGUGGAAGAGAUGGUCACCAACCCACAGGGAAUUCAUGCUAUGGUGAAGGUAAACCCCCAUAACUCUCCCUGGAUUUUUUUUGCUAUAUAUGCAAGUAUCCAUAUUGCUAAUAGGAAAUUAUUGUGGGAACAACUGCAAAACAUAGCUGGCACUUCCAGUGACAACUGAUUCAUUGGAGGGACUUCAAUGAAGUUGUGAAAGCCAGAGAUAAGUUUGGGGGCAACCCUAUAAACUUAAAUUGUAGUAACCUAUUUUGGAAUUGUAUCAAUAGUUGUAAUAUUAUUGACAUUGGGUACAAGGGUAGCAAAUACACUUGGUUCAGUAAAUGAUACACAACCCGUAGUACCUUAAUACUGGAAAGGAUUGAUAGGUGCUUUGCAAAUGAGGGGUGGAUCAAGCAACAUCCUGAGGCUAGUGUACUAUACCUACCAAGGACCCACUCAGACCAUUGCCCCUUGAAAAUCCAAUUGGAUAGGCCCCAAAUGCACAUCCACUCUAGGCCCUUCAGGUUUGAAACCAUGUGUGCUACCUACCCUGGCUUCCCAAAAAUCAUUAAUAAGGCCUUCCAAGGAAGGCCCGACCUACUCCACUCCAUUAACAACUUUAAAAAACUGGCAACCAUUUGGAAUAAGGAGAUCUUUGGAAAUAUAUUCCACCAAAAAAGGCUCCUUGUAAUUGAGGGCAUCCAAAGAUCCACCAGCUACCAAUUUAGUACCUAUCUCCAAACCCUGGAAACCAACCUAAACAAUACGUUGAACCGCAUUCUCAAGAAUGAGGAGGACUUCUGGAAGCUGAAGUCCAGAAUCAUCUGCUUCAAGAAGGUGAUGCCACACUAAGUUCUUUCACACUUUCACCUUAAACUGAAGAAAAAACAGAAUCCUUUCUCUAAAAGAGGAGAAUGGUAACUGGAUCACUAAUCCCAAGGAGAUUAGCUCAACAUUUACUGACUUCUUCUCCAAUCUCUACACCACAUCAAUUACCCAAGUCCCAUGGAAAACCACAAAGCACUCCUCCAUGAGCCCCAUCCUUCUCCAAAUCCAUAAGACAUUCAUAGAUAGACCUCCUCAAUUGGAGGAAAUCAAAAGAGUUGUCUUCACCAAUAAUCCCUCCAAGGCCCCAGGCCCAGAUGGCCUACACCCUUUCUUCUUCCAAAAGUACUGGCAUUUGGUAAGGGAGUCUGUCACCCAAUUCUAUCUGAACUUCUUCAACACAUCCACAAUGGACAGCACAAUGAAUCAAACAUUGGUUUGCGUAAUCCCAAAAGUUCCCCAAACAUCAAUGCUUAAAAACUUCAGAUCAAUUGGUCUUUGCAAUACCAUUUACAAGACUGUUACAAAAAUCAUUGUUAGCAGAAUCAAGCCCAUUCUUAAUCACAUCAUAGGGCCCAACCAAGCAAGCUUCCUAAGUAAUAUAAGGGCAUGUGACAAUGUUGUUAUAGUCUAGGAAUACAUAAACCACUUUAGGAAAAUGAAGGGUGGAAUGGGGAACAUGAUCCUGAAAAUAGACCUGGAAAAGGCCACUGACUGAAAUUGUCCUUCAUUAGAGACACACUUCAGGCUUUUAAUUUCCCAGAGAAGCUAACUAAACUCAUUAUGUCUUGUGUUAGUUCUUCCUCUAUAUCCAUCCUGCUUAAUGGAGGUAAAACUGAGCCAUUAAAACCAUCAAGAGGCAUCAGACAAGAGGAUCCAAUGUCUCCCUACUUGUUCAUCCUAUGUAUGGAAAGGCUUUCCAGAUCCAUUGACCAAGCAGUCCACCAAAACCAAUGGGAUCCCAUCAGUAUAAGCAGGUCAGGCCCAAAAUUUUCUCAUCUUUUCUUUGCCAAUGACCUUACUCUCUUUGCUAAGGCCAAUAUAAAAAAUUGCUCCUCUAUUCUGGCAAUCCUCGAAGAAUUUAACUCCAGUUAGGGCAUAAAGUCAACUUUUCCAAAUAAAGGGUUAUAUUCUCCUCCAACACAAAUCAAUCCUCCUCCCACCUCAUAUCCUCCACCCUAUCCAUUAGGCAAUCCAACACUUUUAGGAAAUAUCUGGGUUUCCCUAUAUACCAUAAGAGGAAAACAACAGCAGACUUCCAAUUCAUCUUGGACAACAUGAACUCCAAGCUGGCUCGCUGGAAGUCCAAAUGCCUCAACAUGGCAGGGAGAACUAUCCUGACUAAGUCAACAUUUAGUAGAAUUUCCUAGUCAUGCAAUGCAAUACAUCACCCUACCUACCAAGGUCACAAAGCAUAUUGACAAGCUUCAAAGGAACUUCAUGAAAGUUCAAGAGGGUGGGGGGGGGGAGAAAGACUAUACAAACCAUGGAAANNNNNNNNNNNNNNNNNNNNNNNNNNNNNNNNNNNNNNNNNNNNNNNNNNNNNNNNNNNNNNNNNNNNNNNNNNNNNNNNNNNNNNNNNNNNNNNNNNNNNGGGGGGGGGGGGGGGGUGAAUUGUUAAUUGUUUAAAAUUAUUAGCAAAUAAGGCGACUUGAAACUAUAUUAGCUGACUUAAUGUAAUACUGCACCAGACGAGAAUAUCUAAAUAAGGAUAAGCUAAAAGUAAAUGCAGGAAUAUAAUGACACCCAGAAUUUUAUACUGAUUCGGAUUCAAUGUGAAUCCUAAUCCAGUCCCCUUGGGUUGCAAGGGAUUUCUCUUCAGAUAAAUGAUUUCUUUUCGAGAACAAUAGUGAUGAUUAUCGCACAGUCUUCUUUUACUCGUUGAUACAAUGCCUCACCAGUUGAGAACUCUCUUUCUAUUUAUGACUAUUACACAGUGAAUCUAACUAGACUACUAUGUUUGUUUGCAGUAAAACGAAGAGGGUUAUAAUGGUGUGAUCAAAGUAUGUGGUUGAUAAAAAGCCGUAUGGAAUUUAUACAGUAUGGCUAUGGUGGAGGCUUGUCAACCCAAUGGAUUUGAUCCUUGGAAAGUGUUGAUUAUUUCCAAGAAUAAUGCACAGGACGUUGCCUUGAUGAUGAUCUCUUUCUUUUUUGCUGGAGAUAUAAUUGACUGAAAUGGCGCUCCUUCCAUUCUUUCCCUUCAUUUGAGUUUGCCGUUAUGGAUAAUCUUGAGUGAUUUUCGUAUAUGCUGUUGACGCAUCCGGCUGGAUAUGAUUUCCCAAAAUCAUGGGAGAGAUCCUGAUUUGCUGAUGGGAAGUGGAUCUUUUCCUUGUGUG